This 405-nucleotide ribosomal RNA is filed under the name uncultured bacterium. Its description in RNAcentral is "partial 16S ribosomal RNA". It matches the Rfam family "Bacterial small subunit ribosomal RNA", at positions 30 to 526 of the family's 1533-position model. The record is from RNAcentral.
AUUGAACGCUGGCGGCAGGCUUAACACAUGCAAGUCGCACGAGUGGCGGACGGGUGAGUAAUGCUUGGGCCUCUAGCUUAUGGAGGGGGAUAACUACGGGUAACUGUAGCUAAUAACGCGUACCAUAGGAUGAGCCCAAGUGGGAUUAGGUAGUUGGUGAGGUAAAGGCUUACCAAGCCGACGAUCUCUAGCUGGUGUGAGAGGAUGACCAGCCACACUGUGAAUGAGACAAGGCCCAGACUCCGACGGGAGGCAGCAGUGGGGAAUAUUGCGCAAUGGGGGCAACCUGACUCAGCCAUGCCGCGUGAAUGAAGAAGGCCUUCGGGUUGUAAAGUUCUUUCGGUAGCGAGGCGUUAACUACAGAAGAAGCACCGGCUAACUCCGUGCCAGCAGCCGCGGUAAUUC